Molecule: unclassified non-coding RNA, 206 nt
Filed under: uncultured Ascomycota
Lineage: Eukaryota; Fungi; Ascomycota
Description: sequence contains ITS2
Source: RNAcentral
CAACCCUUAAGCUCAGCUUAGUGUUGGGAAUCUACCGUGAGCGGUGUUACCCGGUACCUACCCUAUAACGGGGCUAGGUUACCCUGUAGCCACCCUGUAGUUCCUCAAAUUGAACGGCGGAGUCAUAGUCAUCUCUGAGCGCAGUAAUUUUUAUCACGCUUUUGAAGAUGCUAUAGCUUUAGCCGCUAAACCCCCAAUUUUUUAAU